RNAcentral lists this ribosomal RNA (547 nucleotides) under uncultured Glomus. RNAcentral describes it as "SSU rRNA". It matches the Rfam family "Eukaryotic small subunit ribosomal RNA", at positions 548 to 1098 of the family's 1831-position model. The record is from RNAcentral. Lineage: Eukaryota; Fungi; Glomeromycota; Glomeromycetes; Glomerales; Glomeraceae.
UUGGAGGGCAAGUCUGGUGCCAGCAGCCGCGGUAAUUCCAGCUCCAAUAGCGUAUAUUAAAGUUGUUGCAGUUAAAAAGCUCGUAGUUGAAUUUCGGGAUCAAUAUGUUGGUCGUGCCUUGGUACGUACUAAUUUAUUGGUUUCUUCCUUCUGACGAACCUUGAUGUCAUUAAUUUGGUGUCUUGGGGAAUCAGGACUGUUACUUUGAAAAAAUUAGAGUGUUUAAAGCAGGCAUUAGCUUGAAUACAUUAGCAUGGAAUAAUGAAAUAGGACGUUUGGUCCUAUUUUGUUGGUUUCUAGGAUUGACGUAAUGAUUAAUAGGGAUAGUUGGGGGCAUUAGUAUUCAAUUGUCAGAGGUGAAAUUCUUGGAUUUAUUGAAGACUAACUACUGCGAAAGCAUUUGCCAAGGAUGUUUUCAUUAAUCAAGAACGAAAGUUAGGGGAUCGAAGACGAUCAGAUACCGUCGUAGUCUUAACCAUAAACUAUGCCGACUAGGGAUCGGAUGAUGUUAAUUUUUUAAUGACUCAUUCGGCGCCUUACGGGAAAC